RNAcentral lists this unclassified non-coding RNA (3824 nucleotides) under Leishmania donovani. Its description in RNAcentral is "gene:LdHU3.19.0890(CDS-product:vps53-like_domain_ protein)". Lineage: Eukaryota; Euglenozoa; Kinetoplastea; Trypanosomatida; Trypanosomatidae. The record is from RNAcentral.
CGCGUGACUGACUACAUAUAGGUGCACAUCCUUCCGAUAUAUAGGCAUUGAAGGCGCGCGCCGUGCUUAAAUUUCGCGGCGGUGGUGCUUGGCCCUAGUCCGUCGCCCACUUCUAUCUUGUUGGUGUGCAUGCCCGCCGACGAAUUCAACUUGGUCGUCAAUCACCAGGACCAUCCACCACCCUCCCCCCCCCCACAGACACGCGCACACGGCGCCCUUGCGCUUCUUAUUCCACACCCCUUCCCCUUGCCCUUUUUGCCCCUCCUCUCCCCCUUGCAGCGGAGGUUUGGGUUCAAGUCCUUCCCACCCCACCCAUCACACGCACAGAUAGGCACACAGCGAGUCAAGAAGAACCGAGAAGGAAGAAACAACACGCCAAAAGAGGGGAACCAUCGCAGCACGAGUACGGGCGCAUACGCUCACACGGUCCUCACCCCCUCGUGCCGAGGGUUCAGCGCCUCCCUCUCUGGCUCUCUGCUUUUCAUCUUGCGGUGCAUAUUGCGUGCGCGCGUGUGUGUGUGCCUUGUCGCGGGACGCUUCGCCGCUCUCCGUUUUUUGCCGUCCGCGCUUCCACUGACUCUCCCCUCCCUCUUUGCCUUUGCCUUCACGGAAGCCAUGCCUGUCCACUACAGCGAAGCUGUGGAGCGGGCCAUGGCGGAGGUGUGCCCGCCGCGCGACGCAUUGGACGCCGCCGACUUUGACCCUGUAGUCUACCUGAACAGUCGCUUCCCUGACGAGGCAAGUCUCGGGGCGCUGCCAGCCUUUCUCGAUGAGGCGAACGAGCGCCUCCGCAAGACGGAGAAUCAGCUGCUGAAGGCGGUGGAGCAGCAGGCGAGCAACGCGACGAGCGCGGAGAGCGACCUCAAGGGCGCCAAGGAGGCGGUGGCGCAGCUUUACGUGCGUGUGUCGGAAAUCAGGACGCAAGCGUCCGACAGCGAGGAAAUAGUGAAGGACCUGUGCCAGAACAUCCGCGAGCUCGAUGUGGCCAAGACAAACCUCACGUCCAGCAUCAACACGCUGCGCUCUGUGCAGCUGUGGAUGCUGCAACUGCAGGUACUCUCUUCGUCUUUUGAAAAGCGCCGCUUCUCACAAGCGCGUGAUGCCUUGCAGGAGGCUCUAAAGUACUCUGCCAUGUUCGCGAAGAUGAAGGACAUCCCGAAAGUGAAGGAGCUCAACGACAAGCAGACCCAGCUGUGCCGGCAGGCGGAGUACUACAUUCGCAACACCGUCUUUGGUGAAGUGAACUUGGAAGCGAUGGACGAUAGUCGGAUGGCUGAAGCGUGCGCCGUAGUGGACCUCAUGGAGGAGGAGAGCAAGAAGAAGCUGCGAGAUCGCUUCAUCGACAAGCUCCUCGAGUGCUACUCGCUGCGCUUCAAACGCGGCACCGACGAAGCCAAGCUGGAGCGGACGGAGCGGCGCUACGUGUUCCUGCGCGGGCUGCUGGAGCGCUACGACAGCGUCUUCAAGAACGUCUUCCCGCGGCACUGGUGCGUGCCGCAGGAGCUGUGUGUAACUUUUUGCCUGCACACAAAGCAGGAGCUCGACUACGCGCUGCGCGAGGCCGCCAACAAGAUCGACGUGGUCGUGCUCACAUAUGUCAUUCAAAAGACGAUCGACAUCGAGCGCGACCUCACCCAGAUGAUGACGUGGAAGGACGAGUUUGCCAUCAAGCGGAAACUGCCGGUGUACAAGUACAACGGCAUGAUCCUCUCCGCCUUCAAGGCGCACAUGGGACUCCUCGUGCAAAACGAGGACCGGCUCAUGCGGGAGGCCCUGGCGCAGCCGCUUAUCGGCAGCGGCGACUCGCUGUGCCCCGGCUGGAACAGCAUCGACGAGGAGACGCGCAGCGGCACCUACCUUCCUAUCGCUGAGGACAUCUUCGUCUUCAUCAAGGAGAGUCUUAAGCGGGCGCUGCGCAUCGCGCAGCAGGAUGUCCUCCUCGAGAUGGCCGAGGUGUGGCGUCGCCAUCUUAUCGAACUCGCGCAAGCGGUGAGCGCGCUCUUGCCCAACCCGGCCUCCAGCCCCCUCGAGCGGCGACGUGCCUGCAUCAUCUUGAACACGGCUGACCUAUGCCAGUCCACGAGUCAAGACCUGGGCGAUGAGGUGUGCGCGCGCAGCGAGGCGCCGCCGCGCGAGGUGGCGUUCGACCAGGUGAAAGAGGCCUUCUCCACCGUCUACACAAAGUCGAUUCAGUCGAUUCUGCAGGGGCUUGAGCUGCAGCUGGCGCCCAUGCUCGUGGACUACGGCAACGGCGGGUUUCUCCCCAAAAAGGGCACGGCUGCCCACGGCGCCAACGGUGGUGGCGCGGCGGAUGAGUCAAAGCUGGUGCGCGACAUCACGGCAACGGUACACGACGCAUUCUUGAGCUGCGCUGCCGUGAUGCCGCCGACAGCGCUGCGCUUUCUUCUGGACAAGAUGGCAGCAACGUUCAUUCCAGAGUACGGCAACACGCUCUACCGUCUGCGCAGGCUGCCGGAUGAUGGCAUCAGCUGCAUGCGUGUCGACGCGGCAGCGCUGGAGAAGACAUUCUUGCAGCUGCCCAACUACAACGAUCCUGCUCGCUUUCCCGCGUCGGCGCUGACGGGGUACGUGCGCCUGGUGCGCAAGGAGUUUGACCAACUGAAUCGUGCGCUGAAGGUGCUGCAGGUCGACGCGCGCACCGACGCCUUCAUCGAGGUCUACUACGAAGUGGUUCUGCCGGAGAAUCGCUCGAUCCACAACUUUGUCCGCCUGGUCGAGCUUAAGGGACUGCGGCGCGAGGAUGUGCGGGCGUGGGUGGCCACCCUGUCGAAGCGUGGCGUCGUGGAGGCGACGAAGCGGGACUUCCAACGCGAGGCGUCGCUCGGGCUCUCCACUGGCGUGUCCUCCGGCGCCGCAGGGGGUGGCGCGUCCAUCGCCAGCGGCGUUAGUCUGAACUUUGCAGCGCUCUUCACACGUGAUGCAUCCGCCCCGCUGGCGCCACCGCGACUCCCCAACGCGAGCUCGGCAGUGUUGCCAGCCACCGGUGGUCAUUUUUCCCUGUCCAACCUUGUCUCCACCAUCGGCGGCGGUGGAAUGAACGGCGCAGCAGCGAGCAGCGACGGCGCAGGUGGGACGGCCGCGACCGCCGAAGACGGUGCCGCGGAGGAGGAGAGGCUCGGGUCUAUCUUUACCACAAUGGCGCGCAGCACGGCCACCUCCAUGAACUUCUUGAACAAGCUCAAGCGUGGUGACGGAAAGCAGUGACGCGGGCGGCAUGAGGCGCGGCGUGCAACACUCCCUCGGUCGGCCACGACAGAGAAGUGACUGCACAGCCCACGCGGCGCUAUUCACGUGGGCCGCAUGACGCCAACGAGGCAAUCACACCCCGGACAUGUGGCAGCGCGGGCUUUUCGAGUGUUUCCUUGUUUUCUUUGCCCGUUGUCUCCUCCUGUUGCGUUGUGACGUGCAGGCGCGGGUGGUGGACACGGUGCCGAUGCACACCAGAAAAAGUCUACGUGUGGCGUGCCUGUCGUUCUUUGGCGCCCUUUUCCCGCGACGUGGUAGACUUGGCCGACGACGGGGUGAAGGAAACGAAACGACGGCGCACGCCGCACACACUCUGCUUCCUCUCUCUUGUCCCACAGCUGCACGCAAACGGUGGAAGUUUGGUUGCACGCUCUCUAUAUAUCCUUGUCUAGACACGUCGUCGAUGCACACCGGGGCUGUGCUUCGCUGGGAUUCAGUAAAGCGCGAGCUGCCGAGACAGCGAAGAAAAGGCCUCUGUCAUGAUUGCGGUACGAAAGGGAGCCCCACGGCCGCGUUCUGAACCGAUUCGUACCUAUUCAGCAUACAUGAAAGCACUC